Papio anubis (olive baboon) is the source of this 2551-nucleotide long non-coding RNA. The record is from Ensembl. NCBI's taxonomy places the organism in Eukaryota, Metazoa, Chordata, Mammalia, Primates, Cercopithecidae.
GGCAGGAGAAUGGCGUAAACCGGGGCCCGGAGCUUGCAGUGAGCGAGGUCAGCCACUGCACUCCAGCCUGGAAGCUGACAGAGAAAACCUCAAAAAAAAAAAAAGAAAUAAUAUCCAUUCUACACAGACUCUUCCCGGAAAUACAAGUUUACCAGGUCACCGUUACCACAAGCCCAAAACCAGAAAAGAUAUCACGGGAAAAGAAAAUUACAGGCCAACUUUCCUCAUAGACAUAGACACAAAACAGUUUCUAGAAUACUUGCCUUAAAAGUAAAUAGAGGCCAGGUGAGAUGGCUCAUGCCUGUAAACCCAACAUUUUGAGAGGCCGAGGCAGGCGGAUUUAUUGAGGAGUCCGCAGUUGAGACCAGCCUGUGGCUGUGAUGAAACUCGUCUCCACUAAAAAUGCAACAAUUAGCCAGGCAUGGUGGUGGCAGGAACCUGUAAUCCCAACUACUCGGGAGGCUGAGACAAGAGAAUCACUUGAACCUGGGGACAGAGGUUGCAGUGACCGAGAUUGUGCCAUUGCACUCUAGCCCAGGCAACAAAGUGAGAUUUAAGUCACCGAGAAGAAUUAAAAAAUAUAUAAAUAAAUAAGUAAAUAGAAAAAAAAAUGUUUAAAAGAUUUACAAAAGUUCUUGAAAUCUUAGUAGGUCGGGUGCACAAUGUAUAAAGAGGAUAGUACAUCAAGACCAAGGGGAGUUUAUCCCAGGAAGUCAAAGGGAUCCAGCUUUCUUUUUUUUCAGACAGAGUCUCACUCUGUCACCCAGGCUGGAGGGCAGUGGUGUGAUCUCGGCUCACUGCAGCCUCUGCCUCCCAGGAGAAUCGCUUGAACCCAGGAGGUGGAGGUUGCAGUGAGCCGAGAUCACACCACUACACUCUAGCCUGGGCGACAGAGUGAGACUCUGUCUCAAAAAAAAAAAAAAAAAAAGAGAGAGAGAGAGAGAGAUUCUUCCUUUUUUUUUAAAGUUAUGGGACCAGGUUUGUUAAUAACGUAUGUUAUGAGAACAGUUGAUUGCAGUCUCACCGUGAAGGCAAAAACAAACAAAAAAUGAAACCCAAAGGAUAUACAGAAAUAACCCUGUCCACCGAAUAAACUGAAUGGUGUUUAUAGCUGUAUAACCCAACUAAGUAAUCUUUCUCCCGUCUUUAGUUUUAUGCACCACCUGCCAUUCUAGAUAUUACCAAUCACUCUAAACAAUAUUAAUAAUAAAAACCAAGGCUGGACGCGGUGGCUCACACCUGUCAUCCCAGCACUUGGGAGGCCAAGGCAGGGCACCUGAAGUCAGGUUAGGAAUUCGAGACCAGCCUGACUAACAUGGUGAAACCCCAUCUCUACUAAAAAUAUAAAAAUUAGCUGGGCGUGGUGGCGGGCGCCUGUAAUCCCAGCUACUCGGGAGGCUAAGGCAGGAGAAUCACCUGAACUUGGGAGGUAGAGCUUGCAGUGAGCUGAGAUCGCGCCUUUGCACUCCAGCCUGGGCAACAAGAGUGAAACUCCGUCUCCAAAAAAAAAAAGGAAUAAAAGAAAAAAUAAAUAAAAACCAACCACUUUCAAUCUGAUAAUUCUGGGCAGAAAAUUGGAUAUAGUUUGGACAAGAUCUUUGAGAAAAAUUCAUAUACACCAAAUUAACUAGUUCUGUUAAAAAGUUGCUGUAAAAAUACACAUAUCGGCCGGGCGCGGUGGCUCAAGCCUGUAAUCCCAGCACUUUGGGAGGCCGAGACGGGCGGAUCACGAGGUCAGGAGAUCGAGACCAUCCUGGCUAACACAGUGAAACCCCGCUCUCACUAAAAAAAUUUACAAAACUUAGCCGAAGGGUAAGGUCGCAUCCCCAGCCACUGGUGCCGGAGGCAGGAGAAUGGCAUGAAACCCGGAGGUGAGCCAGGCGAGCUGAGAUCCCGCCACACUGCACCUGGUGCCUUGGUGAUGUAGGAGCUAGACUCACUCAAAAAAAAAAAAAAAAAAAAAAAAAAAAAAAAAUACACAUCAUCACGAAACAUACAGAACUUUAGAAUCCAGCUAAGAGUAGAGAAAUACUGAAUGUCUUAAUUUAUCUGGAGGGGGCUGUAAAUCCUAAGGUGGAAGGGCGUUUGAGCGCUUGCUGGUUCAGAGAUUCUAGUGUCUAGUAUCUCUCGAACACACAAAGACCAUUUUGAAGGUGGUUAUGGCCAGGAAACCUCGGGGUGGGUUCUCCCGGAGAAGGACCCUUUCUUUUCAUGGGAAGAUCUGGAAGUGACACCUCCCACUCCUGCCCUGGUCCGAUUGGCCAGAACGUGGUCACAGGCUAAGUCAGAGGCUGCAAGGAGGCUGGGAAACAUGGUCUUUAGCUGGAGAGCCUCGAACCUGGUGAAACUCCUUUUACCGUGAAAGGGGAGAGUACAGCUUGGGUGACAGUCAGAGGUCGCCGUGGCAAGGGUGGUCCUCCCCCAAGCUCUCCCACGGAGCCACAAGGCUUGUCCCCGUAUUCCCUCACCCAUCAGGUCACCACUCCUUUCCAUUUCUUUUCUUGAAGGCGUCUCCCGGCCUCCUGGAGACCUUUGUCCCUACCGCCCUCUC